GACGGAGGGUGAAAGCGUUAAGAGGAAUUACUGGGAGUAAAGGGAAAGCAGGCGGUCUGUCAAGUCGGAUGUGAAAUCCCCGGGCUCAACCUGGGAACUGCAUCCGAAACUGGCAGGCUAGAGUCUUGUAGAGGGGGGUAGAAUUCCAGGUGUAGCGGUGAAAUGCGUAGAGAUCUGGAGGAAUACCGGUGGCGAAGGCGGCCCCCUGGACAAAGACUGACGCUCAGGUGCGAAAGCGUGGGGAGCAAACAGGAUUAGAUACCCUGGUAGUCCACGCCGUAAACGAUGUCGACUUGGAGGUUGUGCCCUUGAGGCGUGGCUUCCGGAGCUAACGCGUUAAGUCGACCGCCUGGGGAGUACGGCCGCAAGGUUAAA
This 375-nucleotide ribosomal RNA is filed under the name uncultured bacterium. RNAcentral's name for it is "bacterial SSU rRNA". It matches the Rfam family "Bacterial small subunit ribosomal RNA", at positions 524 to 898 of the family's 1533-position model. The record is from RNAcentral.